RNAcentral lists this ribosomal RNA (312 nucleotides) under uncultured bacterium. Its description in RNAcentral is "bacterial SSU rRNA". It matches the Rfam family "Bacterial small subunit ribosomal RNA", at positions 28 to 334 of the family's 1533-position model. The record is from RNAcentral.
GGCGAACGCUGGCGGCGUGCCUAACACAUGCAAGUCGAACGGGGCUAGGAAAGCUUGCUUUCUGAUGCCUAGUGGCGGACGGGUGAGUAACGCGUGAGUAACCUGCCUUUCAGAGGGGAAUAACGUUCUGAAAAGAACGCUAAUACCGCAUAACGUACAGCUUUCGCAUGGAAGCAGUACCAAAGGAGCAAUCCGCUGAGAGAUGGACUCGCGUCCGAUUAGCUAGUUGGUGGGGUAAAGGCCUACCAAGGCGACGAUCGGUAGCCGGACUGAGAGGUUGAACGGCCACAUUGGGACUGAGACACGGCCCAG